UCCAGUGCCGCACGGUGUCCGUUAGCAACUCCAACACAACAUACCUGCCACAACAGGUUCAUCUCACCUUCAAUCACCUGCAGUCCAGUGAUGUUGACCCCACCUGUGUUUAUUGGUCGGAUGAGAAUGGACGUGGUCUGGGCGGGGUUGCACCUUAGUGAUUUCGAACUCCACCCACACUGUGUGCUCCUGCAACCAUCUCAGCACAUUCGCUCUGCUGAAGGGAAUCCAUCAGGAACAGGGAAGCGGGCAGCUGUUGGUGAUGUGGGUGGGUGUUUUUGUGGCACUGACCUGUGUGGUCCUGUCCUGAUCACCACCCUGUGGUGUCGCUUUGUCAGCCGCAAACGCCGUGGAGGACGCCGGCUGCAACGGGAUGUACAGCUACAUAGAAAAUAAGAGAUGGAUUUGAACUAUUUGUGUUCUAAGAAAAGCUUUACUUGGAAUCCAUUUGAAAAUAUUGUCUCUUGGCUUGCAAGGACAUCCAAUUACCAGAAUUUGUAUUUAUUUAAGUAGUUUAAAUGUACCAAACAAAC
Molecule: long non-coding RNA, 533 nt
Organism: Oncorhynchus nerka (sockeye salmon)
Lineage: Eukaryota; Metazoa; Chordata; Actinopteri; Salmoniformes; Salmonidae
Exons: 3
Source: RefSeq, a predicted model, not a curated record